RNAcentral lists this transfer RNA (22 nucleotides) under Meloidogyne incognita (southern root-knot nematode). RNAcentral describes it as "partial tRNA-His". Lineage: Eukaryota; Metazoa; Nematoda; Chromadorea; Rhabditida; Meloidogynidae. The record is from RNAcentral.
GAUUAAAAAAGUUUUUGGCUAA